RNAcentral lists this long non-coding RNA (10602 nucleotides) under Malus domestica (apple). RNAcentral's name for it is "long non-coding RNA (MDOM_LNC011695)". The record is from RNAcentral. Lineage: Eukaryota; Viridiplantae; Streptophyta; Magnoliopsida; Rosales; Rosaceae.
GCCAUUGCCGACUUCAGAGCUACUUGCUCAACGAUUCAAGAAAAACUUAUAUGUCAAGCCAUAUAACAAGUCUAAUGUGGAUUGGACUGGAAGAAUAGCUUAUGCAGACCAUUCUACAUAUAGAUGGUGCGCUGUUGCUUUGCCUGACGAGAACCAAUUUCCACCUUCUGUCAAUCUUAAGCCCAUUUGUUUGGAGUCCACUGAGCCGAAGGUUGAAGAAAAUCGUCUAGCUUUAAUCAACACUAGUCUAGAUGAAGGUUAGUACUCUAACAUUUCUUUUAAUGCGUUUAUCUUUGUAUGUUGUUACUUGGGUAGUGUGGAUAUGUUUGGUUUUGUUGUUCAUGGUUGAUGCGUGACAGAAGGCGGUGAGUUGGAAUGGAAUUGGCUAAGGAGCCCUGCGGUAUCUAUAGCAGAAAAUGUGCUGGAAGACUUGAUUUCUUCUUUUAAACACAUGAGGAAUGAAAUGAAGUGCGGAAAGCCCACUUUGAUUGCUAGAGUGGGGAAAGUACUUUUUCGUAGGUGAGAUUUCUUCCUUAUCUGAGUCAUUUAGUUGAUUGUUUCAUGCGAUUAUCCUUUUUACCUUUAUGUUGUUCUUUUAUCCGCCUCGGAAUACUGGUUGAAGUAGAACAAAAUAAUAGUCGAUAAUAUGAUAGAAGGUUACAUUUGGCAUUUUAGUUUAGAAGGUAGGAUGCCAAGUUGGACAGUGAAGCAGGAUUCUAUAACUCUGCCCUUGAUUUUCGAUACUUGAUACAAUAUUAUAUUGUUAUCGAUGCUUAAUUACUGUCAAUCAUCUCAUACUUCAUAUCAGUUUUGUACAAGGACAGUGGUAUAACAAUUUUUGUUAAAAUCUUUGAAUCAGGAGCCCUUUAGUUAACAUGGAAGACAUCAGAACAAAUUUGUGUACUGAAAUCUUGAAACAGUGGAGACGAUCAUUGUACACAAACAUUCCUGUUUCAUAUAAGGAAAGGAUUGUGAACGAAGUUGUCCCGAAAAUUGGAGUUGAUUUCGAAGGGGAGAAAGAUACAUACCAAGUAAAGGUAUUUCUUUUAGACACAUCAACUUACUGAGUUCUGAGUUCAUGCUUUCUACAAUUCUGACUUUUGCUAUUGACUCACUAAUCUAUGUCCUUCUUGUAUAGUUGUCUGAUUCCACCAGACCAGAUGCAACUCUCUCCUGCAAAUGCCGUGUAAUGAAAGAACAUGGAAAGUUACAACCCUACAAGGCAAGUUUUCGAAUUCCUGCGAACUAAAUUGGAUGAAAUGGUAAAUGGUACAUGAUGCAUCAGUUCCAUGAUGGAGUUGUCAUGAUACUGAUUAGAUAUAAUCUACUGUUCACAUUUCCAAUUUGUGGAAUAAUGUGCGAGCAGCAUUUCCACAUUGUUAAUACCUUAAUAUAUCCGUAACUCUUCCUCUUAAGUUUUCCUGUUGCUUGGCGUAGAGAUUGUUUACUAAGACUUACAUUGCAUUGCCAACUUUGUUUUAGAUUGAACUGAAUCAACUGCGUAACAUGGUCGUGGAUAUUUCAUGCACUACCAAAAAUCUGGACCUGAGACUGAUGCUAUGCACGAAGAGACUCGUCACAGAUCUGACUGUAAGCUGCUUCACCCAGUACCCUUCUUGUUUCAGCAAAGCAAUUAGUUAUAACCUAUUUAUCAUGGAGCCACAAUCAAAACAAACAACAGAAUAUUUUCGGUAAAUGUAACUGGACGAUGAGGUUUAAACCAUAUUGGAUGCAUUCCUGAACUUAUGCAGCUUGAAAUGAGGUUUUGUGAUCAUAUGAAUCGUUGCUAUUUCAGGACGAUGAGAUGCAAAGCAUUUGGGAUCUGAUUAAUUCCGCGAUUCUAGAUCCAGAUGUGAAGGGCGGGUUGAGAUGGCCUUCGGGAAAGGAUUCUUCCGGAGAUAAAUACAAAGUUGAUGGGGUUUGGCACUUGAUAGCUAAUACGUAUAAAAAUUCAUCGUUCAGACUGAAAGUCAGACAUGCGGAUCGAUUUGAUUUUAGAACCCUAUCUGGGGAAGCUACUUGGGAGACAAGUCUGAUGUUGAAAAAGGUCCUGUCAAAGUUGGAGGUAAACGCUGCCUAUUCUCUGGGACAACUUCUUUUACUUCAUUUGCUGAAAUAAAAGAUUUAUUUGAGAAGGUUUAUCGUGUGCUGAAAUCUCCUUUUCUCCAAUUUUCAGGAAGAGAAUGCCGAAGCCAGCUCGGUUUCUGAGAUACUGAAGGAAGACAUGCAUCUGAUAUGGGACAACUUCUUGAGCUGUGAACGUUUCCUGACAUGAAAAUGCAUGUUGUAAAUCAGGGAUUUGCUUUGUUUAAUUAGGUGUUUGUGAUUUCAGGAUGUUAAACCUUUGUAGUCGUAGUUAAGUGCUUAUUGGGAGAGUGAUUUGCUUGCUUAAUCUAGGUGUUUGCGAUAUGAGGAUGUUAACUUUUGCUUGAGUAUGUAUUAUUUUAGGAGGUUCUACCCAAAGUACAAUUGAUAAUUGGUGGAGUGUCUAUUUACUCUUGAGGUUCUACAAUACCUUCGACGAAGCUAUUGCAAGGUCUUUUAGUUUUUUAACGACGGACAACAUUCAGCAUCACACGUUAAAGAUCUAAAUGUUUAUACAUUAAGUUGUCCUUUGGUUUUUUUAACUUUCUGAUGGCGACGAUGAAGGGUUUUUUUUCUUCAUAUUGAUUUGUUGUCAUAGCAUAAGAGUUUUCUUCAAAUUGAUUUUUUUUAAUAAUGAAUAUCCUUUUUUCAAUUGGUUUUUUUAUUCAAGUGGCACAAAUUAUUCGAAAACUUGCCUUUUUUUCAAUUAAUUUAAUUUCGAAUCGGAUGAAUUGAAGAAAAUUAACGAACAUAUGAAACACCACAACCCCAUUUUAUUUAAAAAUUGUUUUAAAGUCUUAAUUGGUGAGUCAAGGGGGACCCACCCCUGAUUUCUGUCCCCAGCCUCCCAUCUCUCUCUUCCUUCUUCUUCGUCUCUCUCCCCCGUAACUCUCCCUUAGCUCUCUCCCUCUCAGCUCUCCCGUACCUCUCUCCCUCAACCUCUCGCAUCUCUCUCUUCCCCCGGACUCACUAGGACCGAGUCACCAUCGAACAGAGGCUCGCAACGAACCCCGGACCCUGCCCUGCGAGUUCGACGGCACGGAGUAAGCUCCGGCGAGCACCGCCCAUUUCGAGGCCAUUUCCGGCCAAACAAAGCGAGUUGGCCGGCGUGUAAGGUAUCAAUCUCUUCGUCUCCUUGGGUACUACAACUUUCCUUUUUGUUUCACUCAAUUUCGUUGAGUAUUGAAGAAGUUAUACUCAUUUGAAUCUUACCCAGUUUCCGGCGAUUCCGACGGCUUUCGAGGCAUUUUCCGGCCAAAACACGGCGAUUUAGACGUCGUGUGAGGUACCAUUAUCUUCGUCUCUUCAAGGGCUACAACUUUUGUUUUUUUUCUCGCUUGAUUUCGUUAAGUAUUGACAAAGUUAUGGCCGUUUAAAGCGAGUGUGGUUUUCCGGCCGAUUUCCGGCUUUCUCUCCCAUUGGGUCCGGCGACCCACCAAAACCCAAGGCUUUGGGCCUUCCUUGCCGAGCCCAGCCCUUUUGUGAGGCCUUAGGGCCAGGCUUUAUGUGUGUGUAUUAGGUGUGUGUGUGUGUUAGUUGUUUGGGUUUGGGCUUAAGCCCAAACCACCCAUUUUCACCCUAAACCCUUUUAACCUUAGAACCCUAAAAUCAAAACCCAAUAAAUCCUAAUCCUAUUUAACCUAAACCCUAAUCCGGAUUUCAAGCCUAAAACCCGUUAGACCUAAUUUGAUCGUUGACCUCCGGUCAACAUUGACUUUAAAGUUGACUUUUCGGGUUUUCGUCCGGGACCCUUCUUAGGGUAAUUCGACGUUCUGAAUCCGUUUCCAAUGUCCGUUUUCCCAAAUUCAAUUGCUAUUAUAUAGUUUUAUUUAUUGGACUCUUUAAUGUGCUUAGGGGCAAUUAUUGUGACGUUUCCGUCUUUGCUAGUGGCGCAGCUUUUGGCAACUAAGUACUGUGAGUGGACCCCUUCUAAAAUUACAUGAUUUCAUAGUUUAAUUGCAUAAUUGAUUAGCAUGCCUACAAAUUUAUGAUCUGAUUUAUGUGGAGCUUGUUGUUUUAAUAUAUUGAUUAUCGUCUCGUGUUUUUGGUGAGGAAUUAAUUGUUGGCCUAUUUUGAGCUAUAUUUUAAUAUAUCGUAUUUUCUAUAAAAACCAUGAACUGGUAGACUAUCUGACAGAUGACGAUAGGAUGCUAGAACAUGUUUUGAACCCCUCUUUAUAGUGUAGACGAUGAUCGGUAACCUACGCUAUGAAGUGGUAUUUACAAGAGGCGUAACAUUUUGUGCGUACCUAGUGGACACUAUGCCGCCUGGGGCGAGGAUCUGGUGUUGGCAUUUAGGCCGGGAGAAAUAAUCCCUAGCUACGGGCUGAGGGACAUGAAGAGGCAUUGGGCCGGGUGGUAGUUAUCUCUGGCUACGGGACGAUUUAUGAUGCGUUUACUGUUUUGAUUUCCGCGAUGUUAUUCCGCGAUAUGGCUUUUUGAGAUACUUUGGCAUGCUAGGAUUUUUAUUAAAUCAAUCACUUAUUAUGCUAGUAGUUUUCAUUUAUAUAAACUUUGGGGGUUAGUAUCUUGAUAACUGUUUUAUUAUUAUUGUAUUUAUAAACUUGGUCCACUCACCUUUGUUUUGUGCCCCCAUUCAGGACUUAGAAUCAAGGCACCUAAUCCCAGCGUCAAGAUACUUCCGCAGCAGCAUCUUCGGAUCCUCUCGAAUGUAGGACUCACUCCUUUAUUCAUUAAAUUUUAUCCUAAUUCUUCGUAGUGAUUAGGUUUAGUUGUAUGCUCUGAGCACGUUCCUAAACUGUUAACUCAUUGUAUUUCAAAUUUCUAACCUUUAUUUAUUUCUUAUUCUUAGCUUUUGUAUCAAUUAAUGGCUUUUGUCACCCCCGGGUGUCGGCCAGCACGUGUCGGUCCUGGUAUUCGGGGAAUAUCAGGGUCGGGGCGUGUCAACAUAAAUUAUCAAGGAGUGUGUGGAUAGCAUACCCCUUUACAUAUCUUAUUGAAGAUGCUCUAAAAAUUAAAUUAAAAUAGAAUUUCAUUUUCAUAAAGCUAAAAUAAAAAAAAUAAAAAACCUUCCAGCGAGGUUAAUAAGCACAAAUUAAAGAAAAAACCCUCCGGCAAGGUUUUCCACAAAAAAGACAUAUGACCCUCCACCAAGUUGUCUCUAAAAGGAAAAGGAAAAGCAAAAAAGUAUCUAAAAGGCAAAGAAAAAAACCCCUCCAGCAAGUUGUAUGAGAAAAAGAAAAAUAAAAACCCCAUCCGAUAUAACGACGGGAAGCCUUACUCGUAAUUCAUUGAGCUGAGUAUAUUCAAAGCAUUUUCAUCCUAAGCAUUUCCUUUUUCUUUCAUAUGGCGUCUAACUCUCCAGCUCUUCCAACGUUUCCAACUUUCUUACGAUUAAACUUGACCCUACCAAUUACCCUCUCUGGCAAGCCCAGAUGCUUCCCUUGCUUCGUAGCAGGAAUCUCGUCUCCUUUGUUGAUGGCACUAGCAAAUGUCCUCCUGCCUUUCUCAAAGAUGAUGAGGGCAAACUUACUCUGAAUCCGGAGUUUAAAGCAUGGGUUCAACAAGAUAUUAUGGUCAUGUCCUGGAUCAAGAGCUCUGUUCAUCCCACUGUGUUGGCUGCCCUAAUCGGGAAAACCAGUUCUCAUUCUGCAUGGACCUGUCUGCGCGAACGCUAUGAUUUGCAGCCCACUGCUCAGGGUCGUGAUGAAGCCAUAUCUCACAGUGCUUCAGAGGCCCUUCUGCUCACUGAUGAGCUGAAACAAAGGAUGCAUACUGUCUUCCCUUCUGAUACUAGACCCACUGCUCCCGCUGCUGCUCGUGGCGGUCGUCCUGGUACCUUCCGUGGUCGUGGCAAAGGCUAUAGAGGUAUUCGUGGUGGUAUGAGUACUCUGUUUUUAAUCGUCUCUUUUUUUUCUUUUCUUUUUUUCAGUUGGCCACAUUUUCAUCUUUGUUAUAGGCAUAAGUGCUAGUUCUGGAAUGGCUCACAUUCCACCACACAAGUGGCACUCGAAGGAAUCGGAGAGGCCAUUGCUGACUUCAGAGCUGCGUGCUCAACGAUUCAAGCCAUAUAACAAGUAUAAUGUGGAUCCGACUGGAAGAAUAGCUCAUGCAGACCAUUCUACAUAUAGAUGGUGCGCCGUUGCUUUGGGUGAGGAGAACCAAUUUCCGCCUUCUGUUAAUCUUAAGCCCAUUUGCUUGGAUUCCACUGAGCCGAAAGUUGAAGAAAAUCGUCUAGCUUUAAUCAACACUAGUCUAGAUGAUGGUUAGUACUCCUAACAUUUCUUUUAAUGCGUUUAUCUUUGCAUGUUGUUACUUGGGUUGUGUGGAUAUGUUUGGUUUUGUUGUUCAUGGUUGAUACGUGACAGAAGGCGGUGAGUUGAAAUGGAAUUCGCCAAGGAGCCCUGGGGUAUCUAUAGCAGAAAAUGUGCUGGAAGACUUGGUUUCUUCUUUUAAACACAUGAGGAAUGAAAUGAAGUGCGCGCAGCUCAAAGAAGGAAGGCCUACUUUGCUUGCUAGAGUGGGGAAAGUACUUUUUCUUAGGUUAGAUUUCUUCCUUAUCUGAGUCAUUUAGUUGAUUGUUUCAUGCGAUUAUCCUUUUUACCUUUAUGUUGUUCUUUUAUCCGCCUCAGAAUACUGGUUGAAGUAGAACAAUAUAAUAAUAGUCGAUACUAUGAUAUAAGGUUACAUUUGGCAUUUUAGAUUAGAAGGUAGGAUGCCAAGUUGGACAGUGAAGCAGGAUUCUAAAACUCUGCCCUUGUUUUUCGAUACUUGAUACAAUAUUAUUUUGUUAUCGAUGCUUAAUUACUGUCAAUCAUCUCAUACUUUAUAUCAGUUUUGUACAAGGACAGUUGUAUAACAAUUUUUGUUAAAAUCUUUGAAUCAGGAGCCGUUUAGUUAACAUGGAAGCCAUCAGAACAAAUUUGUGUACUGAAAUCUUGAAACAAUGGAGACGAUUAUUGUACACAAACAUUCCAGUUUCAUAUAAGGAAAGGAUUGUGAACGAAGUUGUCCCGAAAAUUGGAGUUGAUUUCGAAGGGGAGAAAGAUUCAUACCAAGUAAAGGUAUUUCCUUUAGACACAUCAACUUACUGAGUUCUGAGUUCAUGCUUUCUACAAUUUUAACGUUUGCUAUUGAAUCACUCAUCUAUGUCCUUCUUGUUUAGUUGUUUGAUUCCACCAGAUCAGAUGCAACUCUCUCCUGCAAAUGCCGUGUAACGAAAGAACAUGGAAAGCUACAACUCUACAAGGCAAGUUUUCUAAUUCCUGCCAACUAAAUUGGAUGAAGAUAUUUCCUCGACUCUUCCCCCUCUUAAGUUUCCCUGUUGCUGGGAGUAGAGUUUAUUUACUAGGACUUACAUUGCAAUGCCAACUUUCUUUUUAGAUUGAACUGAAUCAACUGCGUAACAUGGUCGUGGACAUUUCAUGCACUACCAAAGAUCUGGACCUGAGACUGAUGCUAUGCACGAAGAGACUCGUCACCGAUCUGACUGUAAGCUGCUUCACCCAGUACCUUUUAGAAAUUUACAUCUCUAUUCCUUGUUUCAGCAAAACAAUUAUUUAUAUCCUAUUUAUCAUGGAGCCACAACCAAAACAACCAAUAGAACAUUUUCUCUUAAAUGUAACUGGACAAUGAGGUUUAACCAUAUUGGAUGCAUUCCUGAACUUAUGCAGCUUGAGGAAAUGAGGUUUUGUGUUCAUAUGAAUCGUUGCUAUUUCAGGACGAUGAGAUGCAAAGCAUUCGGAAUCUGAUUGAUUCGGCGAUUCUAGAUCCAGAUGUGAACGGCGGGUUGAGAUGGCCUUCGGGAAAGGAUUCUUCCGGAAAAUACAAAGUUGAUGGGGUUUGGCACUUAAUAGCUAAUACGUAUAAAAAUUCAUCGUUCAGACUGAAAGUCAGACAUGCGGAUCGAUUUGAUUUUAGAACCCUAACUGGGGGAACUACGUGGGAGACAAUUCUGAUGUUGAAAAGGGUCGUGUCAAAGUUACAGGUAAACGCUGCCUUUUCUCUGGGACAAUUUCUUUUAGUUCAUUUGCUGAAUUAAAAGGUUUAUUUGAGAAGUUUUAUCGUGUGCUGAAAUCUCCUUUUCUUCCAAUUUUCAGGAAGAGAAUGCCGAAGCCAGCUCGGUUUCUGAGAUACUGAAUGAAGACAUGCAGCUGAUAUGGGACAACUUCUUGAGCUGUGAAGGAUUCCUGACGUGAAACUGCAUGUUGUAAAUCUGUGAUUUGCUUUGAUUUAUUAGGUGUUUGUGAUAUCAGGAUGUUAAACUUUUGUAGUCCUAGUUAAGUGCUUAUUGGGAGACUGAUUUGCUUUGCUUAAUUAGGUGUUUGUGAUAUGAGGAUAACUUUUGCUUCCGUAUGUUUCAUUUUAGGAGGUUCUACCCCAAAGUACAAUUGAUAACAGGUGGAGUGUGUGUGUGUGUGUAGUCUUGAGGUUCUAACUAAGAUAACGACGAACAACACUUUACAUCACACGUUAAAAAUUCAAAUGUUUGUAAAUUAAGUUGUCCUUUGGUUAUUUUAACUUUCUGAUGGCGAAGAUGGAGGGUUCUUUUUUUUUUUUUUUUUUUUUUCCUUCAUAUUGAUUUGUUGGCAGGGCAGAAGAGUCUUCUUCAAGGAGAAACUAACAUAAAUUGAUACAAAUGUAUGAUAUUGGUAUAAAAUAGUGAAUCGUUAUAUGAAAUUGAAAUACGUACGAAUUCGAAAUUAGGAAAACUAAUGAAAGAGUUUGAAAACUUUGAGUUUUAAUGAUAAAGACAAAAUAAAGGGUAAAGUGAAUAGUACCAGAAUUGACUUUUUAGUGUAAAAAUAUGGUUUUUCAUUAAAGUGAUACCGGGAACUUUUCGUUAAAGUUUCCUUUGAAAUUAAACGAAAACUUGAGGAGACGAAAUAUAUAUAUAUAUAUAUAUAUAUAUAUAUUUUUUUUUUUUUUACAUUUUUCGGUGGGAUAGAUAAUUUGCUUUCCAAAUUUCUGGCCCACUGAACCCCAAAAAUGGCUUUUGUGUUGUAACAUGAGUACUUCAAGAUAAUUUACAUCUCCUAUUGGAGAUGCUUUAAGAAUUUAACAGAAGAGUAAUGUUUGGUAAACCAGUUUUUUAUACUAUAUUUCUAAAUUAUGUGAUUUGUCACCAAUAGUAAAUAAACACGUUGAUCAAUACAUAAGUAAUAAUUCAAUCGUCAAUAAUUACGUCAUAUAGUUUACAAAAUAUGAUUUAGAUUAAUAAUCUCUAUAGCAUUACCCUUAAAUACAAAUAAAAAUUCAAUUGCACAAAGCUACUUUUAUUCGUUUAUUCGUCUUAAUAGCUACUCUAGGAGGAAUAUUUUAUGCGGUGUAAAAGUUUAAAAUCCUCCAGUGAGGUUAAUUAGCAAAAAGAUAAAGAAAAUACCCUGACAAGAUUUGUCAUAAACAUGAAAGAUGUUAUCUAUACAUCAUUUUUUAUAUCUUACACUCAUUUCUUAAUUUUUGAUUGUCAAGUCGAAUAAAUUAAAAAUUAUUAAAAAAUAACAUUUAACAAAAAAAAGUAAUAAGUAAAAAAAUGCGCGUAGAUAGCACCGUCAAAAAACUUAUAACCCUCCAGCAAGUUGUCUCUAAAAUGACAAAAGAAGAAGAAAAACCCUCUAGCAAGUUGGAAUUUAUCUAUUUUUAUGGGUUAAGUAUAAAGAGUAAAGGUGCGAUCUUUCGAAUUCCAUUCCAUUUCUAUUUUCUUUAAAACCUCACAAGGCAAUGCAGACAGUGAGAACAUAUAAAUACAGUGAAAGAAGUGGCGGUUGAUCACCCCAAUUUCUUUAUCUUCAUCAAAUUUCUCUUCCAUCAAGAUUUCAACUUUCAGUCUGCCUCUGUGUAGUGAUUACUGGGUAAGCUUAGCUCCUUCAUCUUCUCUCUCUGUCUCUCUACUUAUAGAUGGUUUGAAUCAUAUCUGCUCUCUGUUCUGUGUUCAUAUGAAUUCCAAGAUAUGUUUUGCUCCAAGAAAUUGAUAAAUAAUGAUUACCCAGUUGAUCAAUUUUUUAGGAAAGAACCCUACCAUAAUCAGAUUCUCACUUUAUUAACUCAACCCUUCUUUUUAAUUUUUGUAAUUGUUCCGAAACAAAUGAAAGUUCUGAUUUUCUCAGAAACCAAUUGGAAGUAAAUAGUUAAAUUAACCAAGAAACUUAGAGAUAAGCUUGAUAUUCUUAAAUAAACAUGAGAAAGAACACGUCUUGCUGCAUAAAUUCGAGUACUCUGUUUUUAAUCCUUUCUUCAUUUCGUUUUUCUGUUGCCCUCACUUUGAUCUUUGUGGUUUUUUAAGCUUAAGUUGUAGUUUUACAAUGGCUUACAUUCCUCCGCACAAGCGGCACUCGAAGGAACCGGAGAGGCCACUGCCGACUCCAGAGCUGCUUGCGCCUCAAUUCAAGAAAAACUUCAAAGACAAGCCAUAUAAUAAGUCUAAUGUGGAAUGGACUGGAAAAAUAGUUUAUGCAGACCAUUCUACAUCAAGAUGGCUGACGAUUGGUUUGGAUGAGGAGAACCAAUUUCCGCCUUCUGUUAAUCUUAAGCCCAUUUGCUUGGAGUCCACUGAGCCGAA